This 473-nucleotide ribosomal RNA is filed under the name uncultured bacterium. Its description in RNAcentral is "bacterial SSU rRNA". It matches the Rfam family "Bacterial small subunit ribosomal RNA", at positions 1 to 507 of the family's 1533-position model. The record is from RNAcentral.
AGUAGUUUGAUCCUGGCACAGGACACGCUGGCGGCGUGCUUAACACAUGCAAGUCGAGCGGACGUAGCAAUACGUUAGCGGCGGACGGGUGAGUAACGCGUGAGCAACCUGCCUUUAUCAGGGGGAUAACACUUAGAAAUAGGUGCUAAUACCGCAUAAGACCACAGUCGGGCAUCCGACAGGGGUAAAAGCAUAUACGGAUAAAGAUGGGCUCGCGUCCCAUUAGCUAGUUGGUAGGGUAACGGCCUACCAAGGCGACGAUGGGUAGCCGACCUGAGAGGGUGAUCGGCCACAUUGGAACUGAGAAACGGUCCAAACUCCUACGGGAGGCAGCAGUGGGGAAUAUUGGGCAAUGGAGGAAACUCUGACCCAGCAACGCCGCGUGAAGGAUGAAGGUUUUCGGAUUGUAAACCUUCUGUCGCGAGGGACGAAGAAUGACGGUACCUCGUAAGAAAGCCCCGGCAAACUACGUG